This 470-nucleotide ribosomal RNA is filed under the name uncultured bacterium. RNAcentral's name for it is "bacterial SSU rRNA". It matches the Rfam family "Bacterial small subunit ribosomal RNA", at positions 28 to 491 of the family's 1533-position model. The record is from RNAcentral.
GAUGAACGCUGGCGGCAGGCUUAAUACAUGCAAGUCGAACGGUAACAUGUCGGAGCAAUCUGAUGAUGACGAGUGGCGCACGGGUGCGUAACGCGUAUGCAACCUACCCAUAACCGGAACAUAACGUUGAGAAAUCGGCGCUAAUAUUCCAUGUGUAUAUUUUGUGGCAUCAUAGGAUAUAUAAAGAUUAAUUGGUUAUGGAUGGGCAUGCGUAUCAUUAGCUAGUUGGUAGGGUAACGGCCUACCAAGGCUGCGAUGAUUAGGGGUUCUGAGAGGAUACCCCCCCACACUGGAACUGAGACACGGUCCAGACUCCUACGGGAGGCAGCAGUAGGGAAUAUUGGGCAAUGGAGGCAACUCUGACCCAGCCAUGCCGCGUGAAGGAAGACGGUCCUAUGGAUUGUAAACUUCUUUUAUCAUAGAGUAACCGCAGGGACGUGUCCCUGCCUGCAAGUAUAUGAUGAAUAAGC